RNAcentral lists this long non-coding RNA (7810 nucleotides) under Phoenix dactylifera (date palm). RNAcentral describes it as "long non-coding RNA (PDAC_LNC001197)". The record is from RNAcentral. Lineage: Eukaryota; Viridiplantae; Streptophyta; Magnoliopsida; Arecales; Arecaceae.
UUAGGGUUUGUGUCUUUGUGAGCGCCGCCCGAGCUCCAUUCCCUCAGUCCCUCUCCCCUCUCCUAGUCUUCCUCUCCUCCGGACCUCCGCCCUCUCCUCCCCCUUGCCGACUCCUUCCGCCUCCCCGUCGACGGCGACCGCAGCGGCUCGACGGGUUCCUAGGACGUUGCUUCCGCCUUCUUGGGGCUUUUCGUCGUCUCGCGACUUGCCGGCGGACGGUGACUGCUUUGUCUUCUCCACGGCGACGGCCUCCGUCUCCUGCCCUAUCCGUGCGUUCUCUCCCCUUCUCCGCUAGUAGUAUAGUCAUGCUAUCUCUGAUUUCCUUCCGCCAUCUCUUUCUGUCUCUGUUUCUUGAUCUUAGGGAUCUUGGAUCUCAAAGCGGCGGAGGACGUGAGGGCGCUCUUUCUCUUCUUCAAAGCGGCGACUACUGUGGAGUCCAGCAGCGCUGCAGCAGGUAUGCCGGUGGAGGGAAAUGGUUUGGUUUUUACUUUUUAUGGUUUGAUUCAUGGCGAAGGCUAGGGCUUCCAGAUUUUUUCCCCCACCCGAAUCGAAGCCGUCGAUGAUUUCCGGAGAGAAAAAAAUUUGGGGAUGGCGCCUAGAAUCCUAGAUCAGAGAUUUUGAGGGCUCCCGUUUCCAUUUUCUUUUAUUUUUUCCAAUAAAAAAAUUGUAAUCUGUUAAUUUCUCUCCUCCCCUUGUUCCUCUCCGUGUUUUCUUUUUACUUAAUUUCUGGUUAAAUUUAUUUUUUUAAAAAAAUUGCUUGACCGUGUUAAUAUUGGUGGAUUUAUUGUUGGCACUGUCCAUGGCUUAUAUGCUAACUAUCUAAUUUAACUAUUUAAGUCCAAUAGUUAAACGAGUCGGGUUGGGUUAAAUGGGUUAGCUGUUUGUUAAACGGGUUAAACGGGUCGGGUUACCCAUUUAAUAAACAUGUCAGGUUCAGGUUGUAAUUUUCUAACCUGUUUAAUAAACAGGUCGGGUUCAGGUUUAUGAUUUUUUGACCCGACUUGCAUCUGAUCCGACCUGUUUAUGUCCGACCCAACCCGAUUGCCACCCCUAAUAAGCAAUCAUUAGCUAAUUGUUUGGCACAAAGCUUUUCUCGCCAUCUCGGGAUGGGCGUGCCAGAGAGCUUGUUUGAUAAAUCCUCGUGGCAAGUGGUAAAAAGAUGCAUAGGCAUGCCACCGGCGUUAGAGCAACCGAAAAGAGGAUAAUUGAAGGAAGGAUAUCAAACUAGCGUUUGUCCAAGUGCUUGGACCUUCAAGGACUUUUGCCAUUGUCAUAUUGCCGUUCGAAAGAAAAUGGAGAGGGAUAGGAUGUAGCCUGAGCUACGGUAGGAAAAAUAUAAGUCAUUUUGGAAUAUCAAAGUCAUUUUGAGCGGCUUGUCAAUAGAGCUUGUAAUUGGCCAAAACGGUAACUUGUUGGAACUUUUAUUGAAGGACUUUGCUCAUACAUUCAUUGUGAGAUGAAGAUGUAUAAGCCCUACAUUAUAUUGGUAGCUAUCUCUUUUGCCCGAUUAUGAAAGGAAAGACUCAUUAAAAAUACCUCAUGCUUAAACAAGAGAGUAAAUAACAAGAAAUUCGUAAAUUUCAAGAAGAUACACUCAACAACAAAUAUGUUAAGUGGCUUACACAAGAGGAUCUCAUGGACAGAAUAAGCCAAGGCAAAUGUUAGCAUUGUGAUGAAAAAUGGCAUAGAGAAAAUUGCUAGAAAAAGAUAAUUUUUCUUAUCGAACCUGCACAUAUUGACACUUCACAAGAUGAAGAAGAUGAAGAUGAUCGCCAUGUACCACCUAGACAAAUAUAAUCUUGAGAACAAGAUCAUCUAGAAGUGAAAGGGAAUGAUAUGCUUCUUAUCUUAGGAUCCUAAUUUUAAUUUGAUUUAGCACAAGAAUUAGGAGGAGUCCAAGUUUAAUAAAGAUUGGCUACAUCAUAUUCCUAUUUUGCUUUUUCUUAUUCUUGUAGGACAAUUAACUCUGAAUCUAUAUAUACGUAGUGCUCUAGACAAGCAAUGAAUUUAAUAAAAAUAGUGUAAAGGCUAUUCGAGGUCCAAAACCUCUUGAAUUGAUCGAAUACUCUUUCUUCUACCUAUAUCUCUAUUUUUCUAUUUUCUUUUGCUCGAAAUUCUAUCAAUAGUAAGUGGGUUCCUAUCAAACAGAAUACAUACACAUAUAUAUACGACUUUUCAAAAACUAGUCUCGCAUUAUAAAAAUUUCAUCAUGACAUGAAGAUGAAAUAUCUUUUUUUCGUAUCCUAACAUCGAACUAGAAAGAGGAGACUAACUGAACAAAUUUAGUUCAAUGUCGAGAAGUUAUGUAAUUUAAAAACUAUCCUUACUGCAAGGAGAGGGGAAAACCUAUGAUUUAAACCCACCCCCCACCCCAACCUUCGGGGCGUCUCAUGGCCUGCUUUCACCUGUUCUCCGAACCUAAAGCGGUGAUUUUUCACGAAGCUUGUCGAAAGAAAUCAAACAAAUGGAUUAUCGCAUUUCAAUAGUUUAAUGGGUUAUCAUCUUCGAAUCAAAAUUUACAACAAUUCAAAAAACUAGAAUAGUAUAUUAGAGAGACAGAGAGAGAGAGACCUGCCGGUCGCCGGUCCGAGGUUACAGAGGUUGAGCUUUGAGGGUGAGUCGAGAGAGAUCUGCAGCCGCCCAACAGGAACCCUAGUCCUUAAAUCCAAGGAGGCCCUUGGCAAAGCAAAUGGGCCGAGUUAAUUUUGUCUAGGGCUAAUCCCGGCUCGAUUCCGUUUAACGUGAGCUAGGAAAGGGGAUUGUGGGACAAGAUCCCGCCCCCCAGCCCCACUGGCGUCUCUAGGUUACUAGGCUCGUCUUGGAAGUUUAUUUGGAUAAUUGGGCUGAAAAUCUUAUGAAAUUUAUGGACUAAGGCCUUGUUUGGAGGAGCUUUUGAAGGGCCAAAAAGCACUUUCUAAUUGUGAAACAAUUGAAGAUGAAUGGUAAGAAAAGGAUAUGCAUAGAUGUACCUACUCGUUGGAAUUCUACAUAUCUCAUGUUAAACGAUGUUAUACAAUUCAAGGAUGUAUUUAUGCGACUUGUGGCCCGGGAUUCUAAUAAACAUUUGAAAAGCUGGGUGUUCAACUGUUGUAAAUGGCAUCUCUUGUAAAAUUACCAUCCUUUACUUCAUCUAUUUUCUCAAAAGGCCAUAAAAACAGAUUUUAAUGCAUCUAAAAGCAGAAAUUAAAAUUUUUUUCCCUAAAACGUGAUUCAAAAGAUGCAUACAAACAUAGAAAAUAAAAAUACUUUUUCUUGCACAGAAGAGAGUCUAAUCCACGGCUAGGGUUCUUUGUUAGGGCAGAUUUUUAGGUUUAUAAAGGGACAAAGUAUGUAAUUAUUAUAUUUUAUUAUGGGUAUUUUGGUGAAAAAAAGCUUUCCGACAAAGCUCAAAAUAGCUUUUUCGAAAAGCUCCAAAUUGGAGCUUUUUUUAAAAAGCUGUUUUUAGCUUUCUGAAAAAGCUAAAACAGCUUUUCCAAAAUUUUUACCAAAUAUCUUUUUUUAAUCCAAAAGUGCUUUAGGAGGGCCAGAAAGUGCUUUUUGGCCCUUCAAAAGCUCCUCCAAACAAGGCCUUAGUCCAUAAAUUUCAUAAGAUUUUCAGCCCAAUUAUCCAAAUAAACUUCCAAGACGAGCCUAGUAACCUAGAGACGCCAGUGGGGCUGGGGGGCGGGAUCUUGUCCCACAAUCCCCUUUCCUAGCUCACGUUAAACGGAAUCGAGCCGGGAUUAGCCCUAGACAAAAUUAACUCGGCCCAUUUGCUUUGCCAAGGGCCUCCUUGGAUUUAAGGACUAGGGUUCCUGUUGGGCGGCUGCAGAUCUCUCUCGACUCACCCUCAAAGCUCAACCUCUGUAACCUCGGACCGGCGACCGGCAGGUCUCUCUCUCUCUGUCUCUCUAAUAUACUAUUCUAGUUUUUUGAAUUGUUGUAAAUUUUGAUUCGAAGAUGAUAACCCAUUAAACUAUUGAAAUGCGAUAAUCCAUUUGUUUGAUUUCUUUCGACAAGCUUCGUGAAAAAUCACCGCUUUAGGUUCGGAGAACAGGUGAAAGCAGGCCAUGAGACGCCCCGAAGGUUGGGGUGGGGGGUGGGUUUAAAUCAUAGGUUUUCCCCUCUCCUUGCAGUAAGGAUAGUUUUUAAAUUACAUAACUUCUCGACAUUGAACUAAAUUUGUUCAGUUAGUCUCCUCUUUCUAGUUCGAUGUUAGGAUACGAAAAAAAGAUAUUUCAUCUUCAUGUCAUGAUGAAAUUUUUAUAAUGCGAGACUAGUUUUUGAAAAGUCGUAUAUAUAUGUGUAUGUAUUCUGUUUGAUAGGAACCCACUUACUAUUGAUAGAAUUUCGAGCAAAAGAAAAUAGAAAAAUAGAGAUAUAGGUAGAAGAAAGAGUAUUCGAUCAAUUCAAGAGGUUUUGGACCUCGAAUAGCCUUUACACUAUUUUUAUUAAAUUCAUUGCUUGUCUAGAGCACUACGUAUAUAUAGAUUCAGAGUUAAUUGUCCUACAAGAAUAAGAAAAAGCAAAAUAGGAAUAUGAUGUAGCCAAUCUUUAUUAAACUUGGACUCCUCCUAAUUCUUGUGCUAAAUCAAAUUAAAAUUAGGAUCCUAAGAUAAGAAGCAUAUCAUUCCCUUUCACUUCUAGAUGAUCUUGUUCUCAAGAUUAUAUUUGUCUAGGUGGUACAUGGCGAUCAUCUUCAUCUUCUUCAUCUUGUGAAGUGUCAAUAUGUGCAGGUUCGAUAAGAAAAAUUAUCUUUUUCUAGCAAUUUUCUCUAUGCCAUUUUUCAUCACAAUGCUAACAUUUGCCUUGGCUUAUUCUGUCCAUGAGAUCCUCUUGUGUAAGCCACUUAACAUAUUUGUUGUUGAGUGUAUCUUCUUGAAAUUUACGAAUUUCUUGUUAUUUACUCUCUUGUUUAAGCAUGAGGUAUUUUUAAUGAGUCUUUCCUUUCAUAAUCGGGCAAAAGAGAUAGCUACCAAUAUAAUGUAGGGCUUAUACAUCUUCAUCUCACAAUGAAUGUAUGAGCAAAGUCCUUCAAUAAAAGUUCCAACAAGUUACCGUUUUGGCCAAUUACAAGCUCUAUUGACAAGCCGCUCAAAAUGACUUUGAUAUUCCAAAAUGACUUAAAUUUUUCCUACCGUAGCUCAGGCUACAUCCUAUCCCUCUCCAUUUUCUUUCGAACGGCAAUAUGAUAAUGGCAAAAGUCCUUAAAGGUCCAAGCACUUGGACAAACGCUAGUUUGAUAUCCUUCCUUCAAUUAUCCUCUUUUCGGUUGCUCUAACGCCGGUGGCAUGCCUAUGCAUCUUUUUACCACUUGCCACGAGGAUUUAUCAAACAAGCUCUCUGGCACGCCCAUCCCGAGAUGGCGAGAAAAGCUUUGUGCCAAACAGUUAGCUAAUGAUUGCUUAUUAGGGGUGACAAUCGGGUUGGGUCGGACAUAAACAGGUCCGAUCAUAUGCAAGUCGGGUCAAAAAAUCAUAAACCUGAACCCGACCUGUUUAUUAAACAGGUUAGAAAAUUACAACCUGAACCUGACCUGUUUAUUAAAUGGGUAACCUGACCCGUUUAACCCGUUUAACAAACAGCUAACCCGUUUAACCCAGCCCGACUCGUUUAACCUAACCCGACCCGUUUAACUAUUGGACUUAAAUAGUUAAAUUAGAUAGUUGGCGUAUAAGCCAUGGACAGUGCCAACAAUAAAUCCACCAAUAUUAACACGGUCAAGCAAUUUUUUAAAAAAAAUAAAUUUAACCAGAAAUUAAGUAAAAAGAAAACACGGAGAGGAACAAGGGAAGGAGAGAAAUUAACAGAUUACAAUUUUUUUAUUGGAAAAAAUAAAAGAAAAUGGAAACGGGAGCCCUCAAAAUCUCUGAUCUAGGAUUCUAGGCGCCAUCCCCAAAUUUUUUUCUCUCCGGAAAUCAUCGACGGCUUCGAUUCGGGUGGGGGAAAAAAUCUGGAAGCCCUAGCCUUCGCCAUGAAUCAAACCAUAAAAAGUAAAAACCAAACCAUUUCCCUCCACCGGCAUACCUGCUGCAGCGCUGCUGGACUCCACAGUAGUCGCCGCUUUGAAGAAGAGAAAGAGCGCCCUCACGUCCUCCGCCGCUUUGAGAUCCAAGAUCCCUAAGAUCAAGAAACAGAGACAGAAAGAGAUGGCGGAAGGAAAUCAGAGAUAGCAUGACUAUACUACUAGCGGAGAAGGGGAGAGAACGCACGGAUAGGGCAGGAGACGGAGGCCGUCGCCGUGGAGAAGACAAAGCAGUCACCGUCCGCCGGCAAGUCGCGAGACGACGAAAAGCCCCAAGAAGGCGGAAGCAACGUCCUAGGAACCCGUCGAGCCGCUGCGGUCGCCGUCGACGGGGAGGCGGAAGGAGUCGGCAAGGGGGAGGAGAGGGCGGAGGUCCGGAGGAGAGGAAGACUAGGAGAGGGGAGAGGGACUGAGGGAAUGGAGCUCGGGCGGCGCUCACAAAGACACAAACCCUAAGCGACGCCUUUUACGUCCAAUCAACCUCGCGGUGAAACUGUGAAACCGGACGGUGGACCUCGCGGUGAAAGCGGGCCGAAGCGGGGAGUUGGGCCGAGGCGGUGAAAGCGGGCCGAGGCAGGGAGUGAAAUUGAGUUUUCUCAUGACAGAAAGAUUAAUCAACAGAUACAAAUCCUUUUGACCUAACUACAGACCAUCUAACUGAUUUGCAACUCGGGCAACUUCAUUGUAUUUAAGUUGGUAGAUACAGAAAGUGAAAAUUACAGCAAACAUCAAAAUUGCCUAUAUGCAAAUGCAAUAAGGCUGAAGAAGGAAAAUUAUGAUUAAACCGUUUCUCAGAGGGGAUGUACCAUUGCUAUACAUUCUUAAAAUAGAAAAGAAACAUAGAUGAAGAUUAAAUUUUGAAGGCAUAACUAAGUGUUUUAAAAAUAUAUAAAGUAAUGCAUCAUUUUCAUAAUUAUUGUUUUAUGAGUUCACUUCACUUUGGAAACCAACUAGAGCACUAUACACCGCCAAGAUUUCUUUCCCAAUACUCGAAGUCGUCCCCAAAUGCUGGAGAGGCUUACAUUGUAUAAGCAAUAGGGGUGGUAAAAUAUGAUCCAACCCGCCAUAAACAGAUUUGGGUUUGGCUUAAACAGGUUCGGGUCGUAAACAGGUUGAUCCGUUUAACCUGUUUAUUAAUUGGGUCGGAUACAGAUUUUAAAUUUCUGACCCGUUUAAUCUGUAUAACCUGUUUAAUUGUUGGGCUAAUAUAUAAGGGCCAGCCAUACUCCCUGCCUCGGCCCGCUUUCACCGCCUCGGCCCAACUCCCCGCUUCGGCCCGCUUUCACCGCGAGGUCCACCGUCCGGUUUCACAGUUUCACCGCGAGGUUGAUUGGACGUAAAAGGCGUCGCUUAGGGUUUGUGUCUUUGUGAGCGCCGCCCGAGCUCCAUUCCCUCAGUCCCUCUCCCCUCUCCUAGUCUUCCUCUCCUCCGGACCUCCGCCCUCUCCUCCCCCUUGCCGACUCCUUCCGCCUCCCCGUCGACGGCGACCGCAGCGGCUCGACGGGUUCCUAGGACGUUGCUUCCGCCUUCUUGGGGCUUUUCGUCGUCUCGCGACUUGCCGGCGGACGGUGACUGCUUUGUCUUCUCCACGGCGACGGCCUCCGUCUCCUGCCCUAUCCGUGCGUUCUCUCCCCUUCUCCGCUAGUAGUAUAGUCAUGCUAUCUCUGAUUUCCUUCCGCCAUCUCUUUCUGUCUCUGUUUCUUGAUCUUAGGGAUCUUGGAUCUCAAAGCGGCGGAGGACGUGAGGGCGCUCUUUCUCUUCUUCAAAGCGGCGACUACUGUGGAGUCCAGCAGCGCUGCAGCAGGU